RNAcentral lists this ribosomal RNA (253 nucleotides) under uncultured bacterium. RNAcentral describes it as "partial 16S ribosomal RNA". It matches the Rfam family "Bacterial small subunit ribosomal RNA", at positions 524 to 776 of the family's 1533-position model. The record is from RNAcentral.
UACAGAGGUCUCAAGCGUUGUUCGGAUUCAUUGGGCGUAAAGGGUGCGUAGGUGGUGAUGCAAGUCUGGUGUGAAAUCUCGGAGCUCAACUCCGAAAUUGCACCGGAUACUGCGUGACUCGAGGACUGUAGAGGAGAUCGGAAUUCCUGGUGUAGCAGUGAAAUGCGCAGAUAUCAGGAGGAACACCAAUGGCGAAGGCAGCACUCUGGGACGUGACUGACGCUGAGACGCGAAAGCGUGGGGAGCAAACAGG